UCUAUAUGGAUAUAUCCCUUAGCUAAGGAUUGAUUCGGAGUUCAUAUAGAAAAACCAAAUAGUGUCAGCGGUCUUACCGAAUAAGGCAGCUACAAGUAAAAAUGAAGGAAUUUCUUCAUAUAAGCUUGUGGUCUUUUAAUUGUGCCUUAUUUUAGCUGAAAG
RNAcentral lists this non-coding RNA (162 nucleotides) under unclassified sequences. RNAcentral's name for it is "DUF2800 RNA". It matches the Rfam family "DUF2800 RNA". From Rfam's summary of the family: Actinobacteria, Firmicutes, Synergistetes (1 example). The record is from RNAcentral.